RNAcentral lists this ribosomal RNA (303 nucleotides) under uncultured bacterium. Its description in RNAcentral is "bacterial SSU rRNA". It matches the Rfam family "Bacterial small subunit ribosomal RNA", at positions 30 to 334 of the family's 1533-position model. The record is from RNAcentral.
AUUGAACGCUGGCGGCAGGCCUAACACAUGCAAGUCGAGCGAUAACGGUCUCCGGACCUAUUAAAGCGGCGGACGGGUGAGUAACGCGUGGGAAUCUACCCAGUAGCGGGGGACAACAGUUGGAAACGACUGCUAAUACCGCAUACGCCCUACGGGGGAAAGGAGGGGACUCUUCGGAGCCUUCCACUAUUGGAUGAGCCCGCGUGAGAUUAGAUAGUUGGUGGGGUAAUGGCCUACCAAGUCGACGAUCUCUAGCUGGUCUGAGAGGAUGAUCAGCCACACUGGAACUGAGACACGGUCCAG